Molecule: non-coding RNA, 17199 nt
Organism: Rattus norvegicus (Norway rat)
Lineage: Eukaryota; Metazoa; Chordata; Mammalia; Rodentia; Muridae
Source: RefSeq, a predicted model, not a curated record
AAGGGGGAGAAGGAGGGGAGGGAGAAAGAGAUAGAGACAGCAAGCAGGAAUGAGAUGUAAGAUAUGUCCUUUCAGGGAAAACUCCCAGGGAUGUACUUCUUCCAACUAGGUCUCAUCUCAAAGUUUCUGCCUCCUCAUGGCAGUGCUAACAGCUGGGAAUCAGGUCCAUAAGCACAAGCAUUUCAGAAUUAUUCUAAACCCAAACAACAGGCACCAGCCUAGAGAAGAAGCAGGCGACGAUGGACUCUUUGAUGGUGUGCAGGUGUAUAGUCCCAUAUGCUGUCUGAAAUAGGACUUGGACUUCUUUUCCCAUUCCCAAUUCAUACCCCGGCUCUCAGGAUGUCUGGUAAAACUCUCAGGCAGAGUGAUCUUACUAAAAACCAGUUUGUCUGUAUUCUCACUCUAACCUGCUUAAAGCAAGUUUAUCAGAAGCAACCUUGUUUAGGACUGACUCUUAAGUUCUCCUUGCGGCUAAGCAGACCUAUGUGAGAAGACCUCUCUGCUCCUGUCUAGAGAAUACUCUUUGUGCUACAGCUCCAGCAUCCUUUCUUGCUAUGCCUGGGACGCCAUGCCUGCAUUGGCCUGAAGAUUCCACACACAGGCUGGCUUCUGAACCCGCGGUGCUCAUUCUGAAUUUCCCGUCUCAUUUCUCAUUGCUUAUUCCUUUGUCUUUUUCAGACCACUUCUUCAGCGAGGCAUUCCCUAACCACAGUAUUGAAAUCCAGGAUCAUUUCCACUCUUCUUUCCUAGUUUAGUUUCUUCUAGGCAUGCGCAGUCAACAUUUGACGAUGCAUCACUGUCUUAGCCAUCUCCCUGUCAAUAGACGGUCAGCUCCAUGGGAACUGGGACUUCAUCUAGCUCAUCAUUGUUUCCUCAGUAACCAGAGAGAUGCUGGACUUAGAGUAAAUGUUAUUGAGUGAAUUAAUUUUGGGAUGUGAAGUUUGGGUACCAGAGGGGUAGAUUCAGCUGUAUGGAUAAAGGCGUUUACCAUUCAUCAGUAUGUGGCACCACAUAGCUCUACCCUUUCUUUUAUACUGCAAAGGGAUCUAUCUACUUAUUGCAAAUGGGGAAAUUUCACACACACACACACACACACACACACACACACACACACACACACACACACACACACACACACACACAGUGGCGGCCUUAACAAUAUGGUUUGUGGGAUGAUUUGUCCAAAUUCUUUCUUAUCAAGCUUUGUGUUUCAGUAGCCUCAUGACGGGACCUAGAGAUCUGGAGAACCUUCAGAAUAACGCGUAGGAGGGGCUGGGUGCCAAGCACAUUUGGCAGUUCCAUUCUUGGAGUUUGGUUCACAGCUUCAGGUCUGGCUUUUUUUGUGUUGUGUCAAGAGACUUGAGCCAGAAUUCUUUGGGAAUUCUUUGGGGGUAGGCAGCAGAGCCAGUCCCCAACAUCUUAGGCAGUCCUCCUUUAUGUGACGGGAGCCUGUGGACUACAGCUCUCUACUGGGUAAUGAAAAGAAAACAUUCUAAUAAGGACUUCCGUUUGCAACAUCUGUUUCAUUUGGGUAAUUUUAGAUGGCUAAAACCCACCUCACAGAACCAGGAGGGCUCCUAUCAUCUUACAAAUGAUUGCUUCAGUGUCUCUAAGCACCCGCCACCAUAAUUAAUAGAGUGAAAGGGUUGAGAAGAAAUAGGAGCCCAUUAAGCUCAGGAAGCUGCAUGCUUUAGGGCAAACUGACACAGUAGAAGACAGUGUAAUGGUUUUUCUCUCUUAAAAAAAGCCUCAAAUAAGUCUUUCUCUCUGUCUUUAAAAAAUACAUCAUAGAGAGUUUAAGCAUUUUAAUAUUUAGCUUAACCUUUCCUUAGCCAGAUUGCUUAAUGAAGCCCCAGCAAUUCCCAGAAGAGAAACAACCUCAUCCAAAGAACUUAACAAGGACAAAAAUUGAAUCUUGAAUAUACUAACCAAACCUCAUUGUUACUGAGACAUUCUCCCAGAGACAGCCGUUAAUAGAAAUUACUGUACUUUUAUUCAAAUUUCUUGAUGGUAACACGAGAAACAUUAGCAGUCACUAAUUGUUCUGCAUAGAGGAUGAAAUUGGAGGCCCUGGUGAGUACUUUUCUGCUUUUUACCUCUCUCAGUCAUUUCUACCCUUCUAGCUAGAGCUUAAUAGAUACAUGUUGAAAUAAAAGGAUGCCAGGAAAUGCAGACCUUAAUGGAAAAUGGGAAGUAUAUAAGCCAUGGGUUUGGAAGAUGGGGAGCCUCCCCCCCCCAUCCAACAAAGUUUGCUCUAUUUUUAAUAUAAAAAACAAAGCCCUUGAACGGAAAAGCAAGAAUCUAUGUGAACUCAAGAAUAGUCUAAAUGGCUCUUUGUGGAGUCUAAUUCCUACUUGUGCAGCUCCAUGUGGUAAAUAGAACACUUUGACAUGCAUUAUCUCGUUCAGUCCUCAAAAUAAUCCCUUCUGAACUGAAGCUCCAGGCUUCCCUCAGACCCAGAAAAUGUUUUCAAAUACUUUAUUGUUGCCCGGAGCUUGAUGCUGCUGCAAAGUGAGGAUGGAAAGCUAUUUGGCUGUUUGGUCAUCAGGGCCUUUCCAGUGGAAUGCUCUGUGGGUUUUGGUCAUCCAACAUUUCAGCCAGGUGUCCAGGUAGAAACCUUGGUUUACUAGGAUACAUUUUUGGGGGUGUUGAUAUGCUAAAGUGACAUAUUUCUCCAUGCUAGUGUAAUCAGAAGAAGAAACACUAUAUUGUGCUGGCCAACAGCUUUUGUUUCUUGAUGUGGUGACAGGAAAAAGGGUUAUUUCUUGCUUGGAAAGGUGACCUCAAAUCCAGAGGACUUGCUGGGAAUACUUCAGUCAUGUCAGGUGAAGGGUGUUCCAUAUGGAAAGACAUUUGGUCACAUUGAAGAGGUUUGUGUAAAAGAGUCAUGCCUUCUCUACUCCUUUUUAAAGAAAAAUAUUUUUAGAACUGGAGGGAUGGCUCAGCGGUUAAGAGCACUGACUGCUCUUCCAGAGGUCCUGAGUUCAAUCCCCAGUAUCCACAUGGUGGCUCACAACCAUCUGUAAUGGGAUCUGAUGCCCUCUUCUUGUGUGUGUGAAGACAGUGUACUCUCAUACAUAAAAUAAAUAAACCUUAUAAAAUUAUUUUUAAUAAUUCCUUUUCUCCCUUGAUUUAUUUAUUUAUUCAUUUAACUUCCCAAUGUAAGUACCCCCUUCUUCUCCCAGUCCCUCCUCACACAGAUCUUUCUACCCUGGUCCUCUGAGAAGUCUAUCACCCCUAUACCUCUGCAGGACUAGUGACAUCCUCUCUGAUGCCAGAUAAGGUGGCCCAGUCAGGGGAAUGAGAUCUAUAGGCAGGCAACAGAUUCAGAGACAGCCCCCUGAUGUCCCUCAACCGACGAAUGGAUGAAGAAAAUAUGGUUCAUUAACACAAUGGGAUACCACUCGGCUAUUACAAAAAAACAAGGACAGCAUGAAUUUUGGAGGCAAAUGGAUGGAAUACGUCAUCCUGAGUGAGGUAACCCAGGUCCAAAAGGACAUGCAUAAUAUGUGCUCACCAAUAAGUGAAUAUUAGCCAUGAAGUAGAAGAUAAAACCAUACUCCAAUCCACAGAUCCAAAGAAGCUAAGUAACCAGGAGGGCCCAAAGGAGGAUGCUUGAAUCUUUCUUAGAAGGGGAGAUAAAAUAGAUAUCGGAAGUGGAUGGAGGGAUGGAAUUGGAUGGGAGACGGGAUGGGGAGGGGAGCGGAGCGGUGGUGGGUAGUGAUCAGAUGUACCAAGAGUUCAUACUUUUAAUGAAACGCUUUGUUCUGAGAAUGACGGGCAUCACUUCCAUUUACCCAAACACAGAAAUGUAAUCUAUUUAUGUGCCAGGGAGAGGAAAGCCAGGUGUGGAUGGCUCGGGAUGUCUGCCUUCUGCAUAAGUUCUUUCUUUUACCAAUCACCAUACAAACAUUAAGUUCAGAGCUUUAACCUGGUAUAGACGUAGACAAACCGGUCAAGGCCUCUGGCUUUCCUCUGCUCUCUACCUUUCGGUGUUUGCUCUGUGAAGAUGGAGGCCACUCCUAUAUAGAACAACGUCCAAUUCCCAGUCUUCUGGGAACAGGCAGUGCUGAUUGCCAGAUGGUUCCGAAGCACCCGGUGUAGUCAGUAAACUUAGCAGAUGAAAGAAAUUGGCCUGGCUGCUUUGGCAGUGUUUAGAAUGACAAACUAUUUGGUGAUCUGUAGUAUUCGUUACCUGGUGUAUCAAUGAUCACUGAACAAUACUUUGUGGUCAUGGCCUUUCCUCUGUGGAUCCUUGAAAAUGGCAGCCAGUGAGAGGAGGAAGAGGAAGAGGUCGGAGGAGGAGGAGGAGGGGGCAAAAAGGAUGAAAAAAAAACCCAUAGGUGGCACCUGCUGGUUUAUGGCUUCAUUCCUGUAACCCAAAUUUUGUCUCCCACAGCUGUGAGUUUUGGUCUUCACAUUUUCUUACUUCACCAAAGGAGAAUUGGUUAGCUCCACUUGCCAGCGAACCUCCCUUUUGGUGGCCUUGUCUAAAUCGUGGUGAUGCCACGAGUCUGCUGCUCUACACUGUGAGACAGGCAUAAGAACCCCAGGGUUACUUGCAACACUCAAAAUUCCAGAUAUCCAGACAUGAGCCAGGGUUGUGCAGCCUAAGAAAUAAGACUUUUAUAAAGAAUUUCAGUCUGCUCUGACGCUUGCUGGCAGGAAGGGUGCGCUGAACUGAAUGAAAGAACACGGAUUGGUUGUGGAAUGGUCAGAAUCUUGUCGUGAAUUCUGAGCAGCCCUAAAAAAAUAUCCUCAUUGAUUUGUAAUUUCUUCAAUAUCCUCUAUAAAGGGCUUGGGGAACAGACUUCGUAGUAAACACACAAUAGGCUUUCCCACACUGCACUACUAGAGGUGGCUGUAAAUUCUCUAAAUGCUCUUUACAAGGGCGUUAAGCCUUUCUCCUAGUUAAUAUUAAAGGCUUUCCACCCACCCCAUUUACUAGUGCCCUUUAGGAUUGUGGAAAAGAACAGUUGGCCCUCAAUGAGAACAAUGGAGAGCAAGUUGAAUGAAUCCCAGAAUGGCGUAUUUUACUUGAAAAACAUGCAUUAUGCUCUUUCCCAAGUAAACUGCAUAGAAAAAUGUAAAUGAGGCACAAAGCGCUUAUGAAUUAGGCCCUAAGCGUUUCCUUUUUAGCAUAUAAACUGCCACUAAGGCCGUGAUAGGAGUGCAUUUUCUACUAUUUUUCAAACUGUAAUUACGUUUCCCGAGUAAAACCCAAAUGCUCGCUAUGGUCCUGUUGCAACUGCACAAGACAGGUAAUAAUUGGAAAAUUCAAAGCAGAGACUUAUCUCCUAAAUGCUAAAAGGUGGGGCCCCUCACACUGUACAGAAGAGUUGACAUUAAAUAUCAAACUGAACCCGGCGAUUCUCCGUGAUGUUAAUUUUGCAUCUGGAAACGCGUUUCCAAGCUGCAACACCUUUAAGAAUAUAUCAGAAUAAAGGACAAGUGAUAAUUCCGUCCCCAACCUUCAUCCUUAAACAGCUUAUAAUCUCCAUCCAGCAUCCAACAUCCUCCCCUCCCCCAUACUUAACUCUGUUCAGGUUGGAGUAGGAUGUAUUUAAGUUCCAGAGAAGCAAAUUAACUUAUUUAAAUAGUAUUGGAAUUAAAUGAAGUCCCAAAGAGCAACUGGAAAGCUUUGUUCAGUUGUGCACCUAAGGACCACAGAAGAGGGCACACUAAAAAAGCUUGUAUAGAGAAUUGAAAAGAUUUGAACACGCUCCUUCCACCUGUCACCACACUGAGGCAACAUUUUAAAAAUGAUGCCAUUCUAUUUGGUGAUUCAAUGGACAACACUAGUUUAAGGAUGUAUGUAUCUACACAAAGGAGAACAAAAGAAAAAACACACUUCUUAAGACUCGGUGGGAAAUAACGACUCUCUAGAGGAGGACAAUGUAAGCUAUGAAGUUUCCACAUGCAGAGUGUACAACAGCUACGGGAAAACAUAGGCUUUCAACUUAAAGGCAAGGCUCGUCACCCUCAGGUGUGUGGGCUCCCAUUCCGGGAUCUUGCAACAGUGAGAGCUCAGAAGUGAUUUCUGAUAGGAUCUCCCUCAAAAUCCUCAGCCUGACUUUGCACUUUCAGUAUGAUGUUUUAUGGUGUGUGUGUGUGUGUGUGUGUGUGUGUGUGUGUGUGUGUGUGUGUGUGUAAGCCAUGUCCCACAAUCCUUUGAUGACUGCUCAUCUAUCUACACUUGACAUUUGCAAAGGUUUCAUCCGGACAGCACUCCUCUUGUUUCUGUGCCUAUCAAAAGAAAUAACAGUUGUUGCCUUUCUCUUCUCAUUAACAUGUGCAUUUGUCUGCAAAGGCUUUUCUGCAGCUCAGCUUUGCAAACCUGACUUAGGGUUACCGUCUCCAUUUGUAUUGAUCAACUUCAGAUGCAUGAAGACGUGUAAAACUACAGGAUAAUUGUAACCCACAAACUAGGGUGUAUUCUGUAUCCUCCAGUAAAGCCAGAAACAUCUGCAAUGUUUCUAACAGCAGACAAUGUCUCUUCCAAUAACUGGCCAAGGAAUAGCAUAGAAUUGGACUUGGUCAUCCGGCAGAUUUCAGAUCUCUGCUCUAACAUCUAUGGGCAAUCUUGAACGUAUGCCCUUCGAAUGGAUGUUCCAUGUGUAUGGGCAAAAUUAAAGAUGCACUUCUUUGGGUGGACUGACUGCUGUGUAAGCUAGAUGCCUAUUAGCCCAGCUGUCUAAUGGUUUACAUACAAAAGAAAGCCAAGUUUUCAGUUAUGGUAUUUGAUAGUGACUAGUGCUCUCUCUCUCUCUCUCUCUCUCUCUCUCUCUCUCUUUCUCUCCCCCCCCCCACCUCGGUUAACAGAUGCCCCAUCUUCUCCAAUAUAAAUUGCAUAGAGCAGGGCUAGCCAAUAUUUUCUCAUUAUUCUUCUUUCCCUCAGGAUGAGAGCUAAAUUAAUUAAAUGCAAUUAAUUUAAAUUAAUUAAUUUAGUUAAAUUUAACUUCCCUCCAAUGGAAGACAUUAAAUCUAGGAAGAUCUUGUCAGUUUGGGAAGGACCCAAACCACUGUAACAGAUCAGCUUUGUUUGUUGCUUUCAUAGGCCACCAUGUCCCCCUACUGGGAGCCUUGGUUCCCUUCUUUAUCCCUUUGCUGGAGGUUGCCAUCUCUUAGCUCACUAGAAAGGGAAAGGGGAAGGGAGGAGCACACCUGGGAAGCCCUGAUGGUCCGGAAUAAGAGAGGAAGGACUGAUAUUGGUUUGUAAAGUGAAUGAAUGAAUGAAUAAAUGAAUAAAUAAGUAAAUAAAUUAAUAAGUGUAGAAGAUACUUCUGCAUAUAUUCGUGGUUCAGACUUUGGUCACAUGGUCACCCCUAACUCAGGAACACUGGGAAAUGUAGUUAGUUGCAUUUCCUGAGUUAGAAAGACUAGUACUUUCACAAUAGCAAGUGGUUUGUUGUUUCACGUCCUCUGUAGGGAUGCUUGUGGGGAUUUGUUUAACCCUUUAUUAGACUGAAUGUUUAGUGAUAUGAGUGCUAUUCUGUAAGGACUUAACAUGAUCUGUCGCAAUUGGUCUAUGUUGCAAAGAGACAAGGCAGAUGUCAGCUCUUUAUCACUUAACAUAUGAGAGAAUGAGAGAAGUCUUAGAGAUCAAAGUUGCUUUAGUAGUCGUGUAGACUUAUCCAUCAUGAAUUCCUUCUGGUGCCUUCUGAGUAAAGGAGAGGUAGUAUGUGUCCUUAUGUCUUUAGUUUCUCAAAAGCUUCUAUUUAAGCAAAAAAUUGUAUCUUCGGGUCACCCUUCUUAUUAGCUGCUUUGCUCUCCAGAAUUUUGUACUUUUCAGUGUAUUCAAUACAUUCAGCUUUGGGUGUUUAAAAUCAAAUGAAUAUCAACUGUCAUGGCACACCUGUAAUCCCUCAUUUUGGAGGUAGAGGUAGGGAGCUCAGGAGCUCAAAAUCAUCCUUGUCUACAGAGUUUGAGACCAGCUUUGGCUGCAUGAGAUCCUGCCUAAUUACAUAUUUGUUAUUGUGUUCUAGCCUCUGUCUAGAGAGUGUAUACAUCUAGUGGGUACUGAAUGGUUGUAGAAAAGGUAAGAAUAGGUAAGGAAAACAAGUACUGUCAAUGGAGACAAAUGAACUAUAUUAAAUAGGCAGUGCAUGGGUUCAAAGAACAAGCAGAAAGGUUAUCCAACACUGCUGAGGGUGGCAUGAAGGAGAAAUAACUUCAUGGUUAAGAACUGAAGAAUGUUAAGAAUUUAGUUAUCAAGGAAUGGUGGGGGCUUUCUGGUAAAGACAGUAGCAGGUUUGAGGUAUGUUGAUGAAAGCUUGUCAAACUAUGACAACAUUCUGGUGGUCUGAAUAUGCUUAGCCCAUGAGAACUGAUACUAUCAGGAGGUGUUAUUGGAGUAGGUGUUGCCUUGUUAGAGGAAGUGUGUUACUGUGGGGGUGGGCUUUGAGUUCUUUAUGCUCAAUCUCUGCCCAGUGUGGAAAGAGACCCCUCUCCUGACUACCUGAAGACGACAGUCUCCUUCUGGCUGCCUUCAGAUCAAGAUGUAGAACUCUUGGCUCCUCUAGCACCAUGUCUGCUUAUAACACUGUUAUGCAUCCCACCAUGAUAAUGAUGGACUGAACCUCUGACACUGUAAGGCAGUCCCAAUUAAAUGCUUUCUUUUAUAAGAGUUUCCUUGGUCAUGGUGUCUCUUCACAGCAAUGAGACCCUAAAACAGGUACUGUGUAUCAAAUGCUCACAUCUGCCUGGAAUCUAAGUAUGGGACCUUCUUUGGAGGAAGGGUCCUUGAAGGAGUUGAAGAAGCAAGUGAAGAUAUUCUUCUGGGAAAUUUAGGGAGAUCACAGCUACCGACACCUUGAUCUUGGACAUUUGAUCUGUAGAACUAUGGGAGGAAACAUUGUGUUGUUUUCAUAAACCUAGUUGGUGGUUAUCUAUUAUAGAAGCCUUCAAAUCUAAUGCUUGAGAUGUUAUUCAAAUGUGGAGGAGUGAUGAUAGGUAUAUGUCUUAUGAAUUGUUUGGAUCUUUAACUGGUUCACUGGAUAAAAUAGACCUUUCCAUGAUUUCUAUAUAAGCUGAUGGUGGACACCUAUGCUCAACUGAAUACUUCUUGAUAGUACUUCACAUUACUAUUCUAUUGAACCGGCCUACUUUCAGAACUGAGCUGUAUAUCAAUUGUGUUUUCUUCCAAACUCAUUCUUUCUAAUGUACUUGUAAUUUUGCAGUACCAUUGUAACACAUAGCUAAUGGAUAAAUUAUAACUAUGGAAGGAGUUAUUGCUCUCAAAAAUAACAAAAUACUUUUAGAAAGACUGGAAGGUGAUUAAAAAUUAUAAAAAUAAAGGGAACUUUGUAGUUAAAGUGCUCAUGUGUCAUAAUGUUUUAGACAUGUUUAGAAAAUUGAAACUAUUCUUUGUAAGGGAGGUAUUCUGAGAGUGCUUUAUAUAAAAGAGCUUUGAGGACAUUUGGCCAAUGGCUGCUGGCUGGCUUACACAUCAGAGAUGAUGUCUGUGUUUGACAUUUAAAUAAACUAUUUGUGAUAUGUGCUUUUUAUAGUUUUCUGCUUGAAUCACCUUUUGUACUCCUCUCUCUUUUUUUUUCUGGUGACAUUGGAUGAGAACCUUUCUAGUGCAGAUUGGUAAAAUGAGCGUAGGCAGGACUGUGAACAAAUCCCUCCUCGGGGCUUAUGGGAGCUUCCUUCCAGAUAUGAUUACUAUGGAACAAAUUUCUUUCUCACUUGACACAUGGCUGUUUGGCUUCAGACAUGGAGUUUCAGUUCUCAGUGCCCGAAAUUCUGGAAUAGAACUCACGUUUCCUCUAUACAGAGCGUCAUAAGUGAUAUCUUAUUUUCUUAUUUCCAAGGCCUGACCUUUCUGUCUACCUUAGCUUAUAGAGGUUGCUAUUGGCAGCAUCAGAAAUGGAGCACAGGAAAGAUUCUUUUCUGACCCUAUAUCAUAGUCAUGGUGUGCUGUACCAAGACAAAGGAACUAUAAGUGAGAAGAUGUGGUAGAAACUGCUGUUCUCUCUCUGUCUGUCUCUCUGUCUCUCUGUCUCUCUGUCUCUCUCUCUCUCUGUCUCUCUCUCUCUCUCUCUCUCUCACACACACACACACACACACACACACAUUUUUCUUCUUUGGCUUUGUCUCUGUCUCAUCCUUUUCCUCUCUCUCUCUCUCCUCUUCCAUUUCCUCAUUUGCUUCUCUGUCUCUGUCUUCCUCUCUCUUUCUCUUCCUCUCUCUUUCCUCUACCAUUUCCUUCUCUGUUUGUCUUUGUUUCUCUGUCUCUGUCUCUCUCUCCGUGCCUCUCUCUCUCUCUCUCUCUCUCUGUGUGUGUGUGUGUGUGUGUGUCCUCACUUUAAAUUUUGUGAUCCUUGAGGCAAAGCCCAAGGCUUUGUGUCUUUCAUGCACGUGCUCUACCCCAGCCCUGCUCUUUGGUUUGUGUCUUCUGCCCCCUUCUCUUACUUCUUAAGCACAUGCUUCAAAUUCACAUUCUAAUCUCUAAUCAAAUGCUAUCUAUUUGUAUGUUGGAGUAGUUUCUAUGCUUAUCUCUACUAUAUUUGGGUUUCAGAUUAUUUAUUUUUUGAAUAAAUGUGAGUAUUUAUGUAAGUUUUCUGGAUGCAAACCAAUUGAUUAUUGGGAAUGUAUGAAAUUUGGCAAAUGAGCCAUGUUGUAAGGAAAUGGGUCAAGUGGUAGCAUAGUUUAACUUGGGUUUGAAAUUUUGUGAUAGAUAACUCAAGAAUAAAUAGUUAGAAAAUUAUUCAUCAAUUCGCAACUAUUGUGAAUAAACUACCACAUGCCUUCUGAUAAAUACAAACAGGACCAAUACCAUCCAUCACCUUCUACAGUUUUUUUAUAGAUACCUUUCUUGUCUGAGAACAAAACUAAGAUUACCAGUAUUGGUAGUUUUCAGCCUUAUAAUAUCAUCAGGGUACUUACUAGCUCAUACAUGGUCACAUCAGAGAAGAGAGUGAUUGAAGUUCAGGUAGUAAGAUCAAUGAAUGGUCUUUUUACAUGUACAAUACCCAGACAACCAUCCAGAAGCAUAUAAAAUGCUUGGAUAUAGCUCUUUGAGUUAGACUAGUAUGUUGUAAAGAACAUGAUAGACACAAGACACAGAUGCGAUCACCAGUCUCAGCUGUGCAAGUACCGGCUCUAUGACUUCCGGUAGAAGUCUCAUAUCCUUCUAGUUGGGUGAGGUGAUGCCUACUGUCUGCUGCCAUUGUAAAAUACUCAUUUACUAGGGAACUUUCAAGGCUGUUUGAAGGACUCACUGCACCCUUUAUAGACUUUCUUAGAUACUUCAUUACCUUUGCCACAUAGCAUGAUAUUUGAAGGAUAGUUUUGUAGUGGAGACAUAUGAUCCAAUCUUCCUCCUUUCAUACCGUUAGUGCUCCUGUUAGAAGGCAGAGGCAAGAAAAAGCCAUGAUUUGCUUACUGAUUUGAAAAAUAGAGGAAAUCAGAAGUGUUUGGCUUGGGCUAGCAUGACCAAGAAAGAAAUAAAGUCCACCAAGGAGCAUGUGGGGUGUUGCAUCCAACCCAGGUCCAUAGUGUACAGAAUGAGCCACGCUUUCUGUCUGUAAGAAACUAGCAGAAGACACAGACACAUAAUAACAUAUGAGGGGUCUGGAUAUUGAAGCAGGAAGAGCUGAAUAUUGGCCAUCACCAUUAGAGAUCCAAUGGGAAUAGGGAGGGGAGAGUAUUGUUUCCUCAGAGAGUCGAUGGAUGAAAGAAUUAUGAGCAGACUUCUUGAGUAUAAAGAUUUCCCAACAACUUGAGUGAUGUAUCACUAGAAGGUGAACCUUUGAGAGGAGAGAAAUAUUUACACAUGUAUGUUGGAAUCUGGCCUGACAGGAGGUGAUUUCUGGCUUGCUGUUAGCCAUGUAAACUGUGUGAUAGUCCUUUCAUCUGAGCCAACAGCUUACUUCUACUAUCAUCAUCCUGUAGAAGACCACCAAAUAGAUUUCAUAUCCUUCAAUAACCCAUACUCCUCCAUUCCCACACUAACAGAACAAUAAGAAUAUUUUGGUGAAAGAGGAGUGAUUGUCUCCAUGAUCAUUAAUACUCCUAUUGAAGAACCACUAUUAUCUAUAAUAGAACAUGUGACCUUAAAUCAGGACAAUGGACAUAGAGGAAGUCCAAGAGAACCUCAGUCUUUAUUAAAUACUGGACCCAGUGACUUCUGGAAUGGGGCACACAGAAAUGUAGUUUGCAUAGAAGAUAGCAGUGGCAGCAUUUGCUUCGAAGUGCUAAGAUGAGUUUUCCUCCGAGGUACUGCCUGUAAGCUGUGUGACUCCAUGGCAACAUUUACAAGACAGAAAUGUGAUCACGGACAAUUCUGCUGCCCUUGAUGGUAACAUGCUGGCAGUGAUUGGAGCAGGAUUUGCCAAGCACACAUUGACCCUCUGAGUCACAGUGGUUCCCAUGGAGAUUAACACCAUCAGCUGCGGGGACAGCAGCCCAGAAUUGCGAUUGGUGUUAGACAGAAAGGAGAAAAAUGGCAGCAUGGUACUCUAGAAAUGCAGCAAUUGGGAUGAAAAAGGAGGGUGGGGUGGCAUAGCUCAGGAGAGAAAAUGCUUUGUAAUUGCAUAGCAACCGAUUCCUCUAGCUCUUCUUGCAAAUGGCUGGGCAGAAAAGUGUGCUUCCUGGCAGAUAGGCGACGAUCUACUUUUAUUUAUCUGUUUUUUUCCUGCAAACUUUCUUCUCAUCCUUGAUAGCUUAUCUCCCUAAUGGAGUGAGUCUGGGGCCACAGAGUCCCUACUCUGGCACUGUAAAGAGUGAUUUAUACACUGGGACUGAGGCGUUGGAAGGACACAGAUCACUUUUCUUGAUGGGUUUAAAUGUUCUUUCUGUAUUACAAAAAAAUAAUCCCUUUAUUUUUAUUUGAAGAAAAGAAUGCCUUCAAUUUUACUUUUCAUGCAGUUAUUUCAUGUAUAUUAAUAGGGACCCCGCCUCUCCGAGAAGCAAUAUCUUUUAGCUUUGGGAAUUGUAGUGAGGGUAUGUGGUUUAUCCUAUCCUUAGCAACCGAGUCUAGCUGCCUAUGCCCUUAUGAGCUGCAAAGGUCAUCUUUUGGGUACCCGACUCUAUAUCCUUUUUGGCAUUCAGAAAGAGGAAAGACUCUAGUGAUGUAUGCGUUUUCCCAAUUCUCUGCCUGUGAAUCCAGCUCAGAUCAGAUGAAUCGGGGACUAUAAGGUGAGGAGUAAUUUUUUUCCUAUUUCUUUCAUAUCAGCAGUUGUGGAAAAAUACCCAUUAGUUGCUGAUUGAUCAAACAGAGAUAAGAAGGAGAACUGGUUCCUAGAAAAAUCAGACUCAAUAGUUUCAAAAGCUGAAGCGACAACCUGCGAAGCUGGAAAAGAAGGAAGAUAAUGGUUUUCUAAGAAAUGCAAUGUAGUUUUGGAGAAAAUUAGCAUUAAUGAGAUACCUAGAGAUUGCAAACAUGCUGCUAUUCUUUUUAGUGUUAGUUGUGGGAGAUUGCAUUUUCUAUGGCGAGCCAGUUUGUACAGAAGGAAGUGAGUCAGGCGGGGUGUGGCUGCAGUCUUAGCUGGACCAUCAAUUAUGAUUAUUGGGCAGUUUACUGGGCCUCAGUUUACUCAUUUCUAAAAUGACCCACACAAUCUCUAAGUAUUGAAGAAUAGUGUUUUGUAUAGCAUGAAUGACUGUGAGGACAUAACCGUGUUGUGGCUUUUGUUGUUGUUAUUGUUGAUAUUACUGUUGCUGGUGUAAUUGAUAUUGUUGGUGUUGGUCUUGUUAUUGUUGGUGAUGGUGUUAUUAAUAUUGUUGGUGUUGGUCUCGUUGGUCUUCUUGUUAUUGGUGGUGAUGCUGUUAUUGAUAUUGUCAGUGUUGAUGUUAUUGGUGUUGUUGUUGUUGGUAUUGCUAUUUGUACUAUUGUUGACAUUGGUGAUGUUCUGCGCAUAUUUUGCCACACGAGUCUCCUAAGACUAGCCAUGGUCCCCUGGAGAUUCAAGAAGAGCUGAGGUUCUUGCUUGAGCCUUAAAGGAAGCAAAGACUAAUGUCUUAGCUCAACUCAAAUUCGUCUAGCAAGAAGUGCUCUGACAUGAGGGAUACCCAGUUGUUUUGUCCUAGUCAGACUUUCAAUACAUUGGACAUGUCCCACAUCAAGGAGGUUAAUUUCAAAAUCUUAGUUUCACUUGGAGAAACCCUUACAAAUACACUCAGAAUACUGUUUGAUCAAAUACCCGAGCUCUUCAUGGCACAGCCAUGUCAACGCACAAAAGCAAUCACAAAAAUAUGAUUCAUAAAGGAUCAUAACUCCUUAUUUACAAAUUCCGUGGUUCUGCGAAGGAUGCGAUAUUAUAAAAAGUGAUUUGCAGAAAACCCCAGGAAGCUCCGUGUCAUGGGAAAUGAUUUGAAAGCAGAGAUUUAUACUUUAGGAAUGUGUGCUCCCCGUUUUCUUCCUAAGGACACCUCAUCUUGUUUCACUGCACCGUGGUUACCACACAGGCAACCCAGGAUAGUGCUCAAGCUUCCAGGUCAUAAUUCCAUGUCUUUGCCUCCUGUUAGCUGUUUGACCUUAGGGGAGUCAACAGACCUGUUUGUGUUUUAUUUUCUUAUCUGUGAAAUGCCUCUUGUGAGGCUCACUCACAGCAAUGCCUGGGAAGUACACAAAUGACACAAGGCACAUACUUAGUAAUGAUCACAUACACAUGUAUGUGUUAAUGGAAACUUGAAGAUUUGAGAUGGUAAGUAACACUUUUAUAAAUAGAUCUGCCAUGAAAGUUACCAGAAACUAUCUUUAGUUACUAGUACUUCAAUAACUGUCAGAUCAGCUUUGGCUUUUAUUUUCAAGUCUUCCUUUAAAAGUGAUUGUGUGCGUGCGUGUCUUAGUUAAGAUUUUAAUGUUUUGAGCAAACAUCCUGGCCAAGGCAACUCUUAUAAGGACAUUUAACUGGGGCUGGCUUACAGGCUCAAAGGUUCAGUUCAUUAUCAUCAAGGUGGGAGUAUGACAGCAUCCAGGCAGACAUGGGGCUGGAGGAGCUGAGAGUUCCACCUCUUGUUCUGAAGGCUUCUAGGAGAAGACUGACUUCCAGACUGCUAGGACUAGGGUUUCAAAGCCCAUGUCCACAGUGACACAUUUCCUCCAACAAGGCCACAUCUAAUAGUGCCACUCCCUGGACCAAGCAUAUUCAAACCACCAGUGUAUGUGUGUGUGUGUGUGUGUGUGUGUGUGUGUGUGUGUGUGCAUGUGUGUGCAUGUUUAAUAGAUGAUCAUGAUUGAGCAUCGAUUGAGAUAUGAGUGCUUAGCUAUAGAUGAGUCUUCUCCCAUCAAAGGCUCUGGGAACAUUCUGGAAGAGGGAGAAUAAAGAAUGUCACAACCAGCAGAGGAGGAGAGAACUGUGAAAUGCUAACUUCUGAAGGGAUGACUGUCACACACAGCAGCUGUUGUUGCUGCACAAGAUCUGGACAGAAUUUGGUAAGUCACAAUUCCAAUAUGAAUGGGAAGAAGACCUAGGACUCGCCCCUACUGGAGGAUCUAUUAACAGUUGAUGGCUGCUGAGGGAAGGGAGUACCACUCUCUUUUGGGGAAGUAUCCAUUGGUAUGUUGAACAUUCCUUGGUGGAUGACCCCACAUACAUGUUCAUAUGUGGAGCACUAACUAGACUCAGGGGAUUAUAAGAAGCAAUAAAAAACAACAACAUGAAUUUGGGGAGGAGACAGAGUGGGAGAGGCAGUAGAGAAAGUUGGAGGGAGGUAGGGAUGAAUGAAUAUGACUAAAAUAAUGUCGUAUAAAUAUAUGAAAAACCAAACAAAACAAUGACACCCCAACAACUCUGGAACCAAAAAGGAACCUUCUUUACUAAUGAACACUGAUGCCACCUUCUGCUCACCAGAUGACACAGUGCUCUUGUAGUUGGUUGCAAAGUUCAGUGACCCCGGGGGAAGUCAGGAUUUUGACCAGCAUCCAAUCAUCAGGUCUCCCUGCAGAGAGCACCAAGUCCAAUGCUUCUAUACAGUCAAGGUCGGGUCUCCAGUUUCUGCUUGUGGUUUCUUAGAAAUUGCACACAUGCUAAAGACACUGCUGUUUUUAAUUGCCCUGCCAUCACUUUACACCAAUCUGCAGUUGACCUUUCAAGGACAGAUUUUGUUUAUUGCUCCUUUCAGUCAAAGAGAUGCAGAAUUGUCUAAUAGAAUUGUCUAAUCGUCUAUCUCUUUAGACAGCCAGGAAGCCUUUUUUAAAAUUUACAGAAAAUACUAGCUUCUUCUGUCUCCUGGAGGUGGUAGCUUGGGUUAGACUGCAUUAGGUCAAAAUAUUCACCUUCAGUGUGUUUUGUCCUUUUCCACAUUUAUUGUAGGUGUUAAGGACCUUCCUAUGACCUGCCACACUCUUACCUGUUUGUUCCCACUCCUCAUACAACUUCUUGUCAUCAUGGAGCCCUGGAUCACCCAUAUUAGUAGUGAUAUCCUUCUAGAAACACAGACUCCCAACACAUCACUUUGAGGAAGCAUUGUCUUGACAGAAUAGCACAUUUAAUCCUGAGUUCAGAUCUCUGACACUGAGGUAAAGUCCUUUGCCCACAGGUUUUUUUACCUGUUAAUUUUUCUAAUGGUCUAUAAUAUUUUUGCAGGAAAUUUGUAUCAUGAGAACAUCAUUUAUAAGACUAAUGAAUUCAAUGAAAGUGUUGCCAUGAGUAUUUGUACCCAUUGGUCCACCUCACCAAUGAAUUCCAAGGUCUGACUGAGUUUGUCUUUGUGACUUGGUGUACAGCUCACCACCUCUCUUUGGCACCAUGGCAAGGGAAGAACUGAAUUGUCUUUUCUUGGGCCACGGGAGACAGCAAGGCAUGGACAUUCGUGUUAUGACAACCCUAGGGAACUGUAAUAAUCCAGAUGACCAGAGGCAUCCCCCACACCGCUGCGACCAUUUCAGCAUGGCAGGAAGGCAUGGGACAGCCACAAUAAUGAUCCUUGCAGGUAGAAGCUCGGGGAACAUGAGACUGUAGACGAAAUAAAGGCGCUGCGUUUUCUUGGGUAAAAUGUCUCGUGGAACUUUCACACUACGCUGGCAUUUCCAGGAAAUGUAGAAACGAUCUGUACAAACAACUUCUCAGUCCAUCCCAGGGAUUCAAGAUGGGCAGCCUGUGCCAGAAUCCUUUGGUCUUAAGUCUACAUGUGCAGACCGACGAGAUCAAAUGCGGUUUCUUUAAAAAUGCAAUCGAAAAAGAAAAAGGAGCAAUUUCAUUCAGCAAGGAAAUUGUUUUAUUGUUCAAUAAACCAUAAUAUUUAGAUUGA